RNAcentral lists this ribosomal RNA (279 nucleotides) under uncultured bacterium. RNAcentral describes it as "partial 16S ribosomal RNA". It matches the Rfam family "Bacterial small subunit ribosomal RNA", at positions 506 to 784 of the family's 1533-position model. The record is from RNAcentral.
UGCCAGCAGCCGCGGUAAUACGGAGGGUGCAAGCGUUAAUCGGAAUCACUGGGCGUAAAGGGCGCGUAGGCGGUUCGAUAAGUCGGGUGUGAAAGCCCCGGGCUCAACCCGGGAACUGCAUUCGAUACUGUCGAGCUUGAGUGUGGUAGAGGAAAGCGGAAUUCCCGGCGUAGCGGUGAAAUGCGUAGAUAUCGGGAAGAACACCAGUGGCGAAGGCGGCUUUCUGGACUGAUACUGACGCUGAGGUGCGAAAGUGUGGGGAGCAAACAGGAUUAGAUA